Molecule: ribosomal RNA, 338 nt
Filed under: Hyloxalus bocagei (spotted rocket frog)
Lineage: Eukaryota; Metazoa; Chordata; Amphibia; Anura; Dendrobatidae
Description: partial 12S ribosomal RNA
Source: RNAcentral
AUCUUAAAACCCGGNGGACUUGACGGUNCCCCAUAUCCCCCNAAGAGGAGCCUGUCCUAUAAUCNAUAACCCCCGUUUAACCUCACCACUUUUAGUCUCUCAGCCUGUAUACCUCCGUCGUCAGCUUACCGCAUGAGCGUCAGUGAGCUUAAUGUUUUNCCAACUAAACUUCNGGUCAAGGUGCAACACAUAAAGUGGGAAAAGAUGGGCUACACUUUCUAAUAUAAAUUACACAAAANACUAUUUAUGAANCCUANUCANAAGGCGGAUUUAGUANUAAAGCGNAACAANAAAUUCCCCUUUAACCUGGCACUGGGGUNUNUACACACCNCCCCGUC